RNAcentral lists this ribosomal RNA (550 nucleotides) under uncultured bacterium. Its description in RNAcentral is "bacterial SSU rRNA". It matches the Rfam family "Bacterial small subunit ribosomal RNA", at positions 776 to 1319 of the family's 1533-position model. The record is from RNAcentral.
AAAUAGAUACCCUGGUAGUCCACGCCCUAAACGACUGUCGACUAGGUGUUCGGGAAGGAGACUUCCUUAGGUACCGCGAGCUAACGCGUGAAGUCGACCGCCUGGGGAGUACGGUCGCAAGAUUAAAACUCAAAGGAAUUGACGGGGACCCGCACAAGCGGUGGAUGAUGUGGAUUAAUUCGAUGCAACGCGAAAAACCUUACCUACCCUUGACAUGGUCGGAAGCCCGAUGAGAGUUGGGUGUGCCCGAAAGGGAGCCGACACACAGGUGCUGCAUGGCUGUCGUCAGCUCGUGUCGUGAGAUGUUGGGUUAAGUCCCGCAACGAGCGCAACCCUUGCCAUUAGUUGCCACAUUCAGUUGGGCACUCUAAUGGGACUGCCGGUGACAAACCGGAGGAAGGUGGGGAUGACGUCAAGUCCUCAUGGCCCUUAUGGGUAGGGCCUCACACGUCAUACAAUGGCGCAUACAGAGGGUUGCCAACCCGGCGAGGGGGGAGCCGAAUCCCAGAAAGUGCGUCGUAGUCCGGAUCGGAGUCUGCAACUCGACUCC